CACGUAGGCGGACCGGAAAGUUGGAGGUGAAAUCCCAGGGCUCAACCUUGGAACUGCCUUCAAAACUAUCGGUCUGGAGUUCGAGAGAGGUGAGUGGAAUUCCGAGUGUAGAGGUGAAAUUCGUAGAUAUUCGGAGGAACACCAAUGGCGAAGGCAGGUCUCUGGGCCGUUACUGACGCUGAGGAGCGAAAGCGUGGGGAGCGAACA
Molecule: ribosomal RNA, 207 nt
Filed under: uncultured bacterium
Lineage: Bacteria
Description: partial 16S ribosomal RNA
Rfam family: Bacterial small subunit ribosomal RNA
Source: RNAcentral